This 395-nucleotide ribosomal RNA is filed under the name uncultured bacterium. RNAcentral describes it as "bacterial SSU rRNA". It matches the Rfam family "Bacterial small subunit ribosomal RNA", at positions 505 to 898 of the family's 1533-position model. The record is from RNAcentral.
GUGCCAGCAGCCGCGGUAAUACGUAGGUGGCAAGCGUUGUCCGGAAUUAUUGGGCGUAAAGGGCGCGUAGGCGGCAUCCUAAGUCAGAUGUGAAAACCCGAGGCUUAACCUCGGGAUGGCAUUUGAAACUGGGAAGCUCGAGUGCAGGAGAGGAAAGUGGAAUUCCUAGUGUAGCGGUGAAAUGCGUAGAUAUUAGGAGGAACACCAGUGGCGAAGGCGACUUUCUGGACUGUAACUGACGCUGAGGCGCGAAAGCGUGGGGAGCAAACAGGAUUAGAUACCCUGGUAGUCCACGCUGUAAACUAUGGAUACUAGGUGUGGGAGGUAUCGACCCCUUCCGUGCCGCAGCAAACGCAAUAAGUAUCCCGCCUGGGGAGUACGGCCGCAAGGUUGAA